Molecule: long non-coding RNA, 731 nt
Organism: Prinia subflava (tawny-flanked prinia)
Lineage: Eukaryota; Metazoa; Chordata; Aves; Passeriformes; Cisticolidae
Exons: 3
Source: RefSeq, a predicted model, not a curated record
GGAUUGGAUUACCUAAUUCUGGAACACUCUCAUUAAAUAGCUGAAGGAUGAUCAAAACAGAGGAGGAGCCCAGCAGAACAGUAUCAGCAGAGUCAAAACCACCUUGGCCAAAAUGUGAGCUAAGUGGGGUACACAACAUUUCAUUACCCUGGUUUAGUCCAGGUACCCUGGAACCAUUCCUAUGGAGGGGUAUCUAGCCGAGGCAACCAACCUGGAAAACAUCAUUAAAAGAGACAGAAGGAUCAAGGUGCUUUAGACUCGUCCAUGUGAAGAAAUGGAUUGUCCAAGGAAGGGAAGCCAUGAUAGUGAAUCAUAGGAUCAUAGACUAUUCUGAGUUGGAAGGGACUCAAGGAUCAACUCCUGACCACAUGGGACAACCUAAAAGUUAAACCUAGUAUCUAAGAGUGUUCUCAACCACUUCUGGAACGCUGACAUGCUUGGAUCCAUGAGUUCACUGGUGAGCUUUUUUCAGUUCCUAAUCACAUUUUCAGUUAAGAACUUUUUCCGAAUCACAGAGUCAAAAAAUACCGUGGAAGGGUUCUCAAGGGUCGCCUGGUCCAACCAUUCAUAACAAAAGUUAAGAAUUGUCUCAACAAGAUGGCCCAGCACCAUGUCCAGCCAAAUUGUCCAGUGCUGGGGAAAUCACUUCUUCUCUGGGGAAGUUAUUCCAAUGUCUGGUUGUUUUCAUUGUGAAAUUUUUUCCUUGUGUAAGCAAUCAGAAUCUCCCCAGG